Molecule: ribosomal RNA, 258 nt
Filed under: uncultured Glomus
Lineage: Eukaryota; Fungi; Glomeromycota; Glomeromycetes; Glomerales; Glomeraceae
Description: partial 18S ribosomal RNA
Rfam family: Eukaryotic small subunit ribosomal RNA
Source: RNAcentral
AAGCUCGUAGUUGAAUUUCGGGACGGGUGGGUCGGUCGUGCCUCCGGUACGUACUGGCCCUACCAGUUCCUCCCUUCUGACGAACCACGAUGUCAUUAAUUUGGUGUCGUGGGGAAUCAGGACUGUUACUUUGAAAAAAUUAGAGUGUUUAAAGCAGGCUAAAGCUUGAAUAGAUUAGCAUGGAAUAACGAAAUAGGACGUUUGAUCUUAUUUUGUUGGUUUCUAAGAUCGACGUAAUGAUUAAUAGGGAUAGUUGGG